AGCUAGUUGGUGGGGUAAAAGCCUACCAAGGCAGCGAUCAGUAGCUGGUCUGAGAGGAUGAGCAGCCACACUGGGACUGAGACACGGCCCAGACUCCUACGGGAGGCAGCAGUGGGGAAUUUUCCGCAAUGGGCGAAAGCCUGACGGAGCAAUACCGCGUGAGGGAGGAAGGCCUUUGGGUUGUAAACCUCUUUUCUCAGGGAAGAAGAACUGACGGUACCUGAGGAAUAAGCAUCGGCUAACUCCGUGCCAGCAGCCGCGGUAAUACGGAGGAUGCAAGCGUUAUCCGGAAUCAUUGGGCGUAAAGCGUCCGCAGGUGGUUUUUCAAGUCUGCUGUUAAAGACUGGAGCUCAACUCCGGAAAGGCAGUGGAAACUGAGAAACUAGAGUUCGGUAGGGGUAGCGGGAAUUCCCAGUGUAGCGGUGAAAUGCGUAGAUAUUGGGAAGAACAUCGGUGGCGAAGGCGCGCUACUGGACCGAAACUGACACUCAGGGACGAAAGCUAGGGGAGCGAAAGGGAUUAGAUACCCCUGUAGUCCUAGCUGUAAACGAUGGAAACUAGGUGUGGCUUGUAUCGACCCGAGCCGUGCCGUAGCUAACGCGUUAAGUUUCCCGCCUGGGGAGUACGCACGCAAGUGUGAAACUCAAAGGAAUUGACGGGGGCCCGCACAAGCGGUGGAGUAUGUGGUUUAAUUCGAUGCAACGCGAAGAACCUUACCAGGGCUUGACAUGUCGCGAAUCUCCUUGAAAGGGGAGAGUGCCUUCGGGAGCGCGAACACAGGUGGUGCAUGGCUGUCGUCAGCUCGUGUCGCGAGAUGUUGGGUUAAGUCCCGCAACGAGCGCAACCCUCGUCUUUAGUUGCCAGCAUUAAGGUGGGCACUUUAGAGAGACUGCCGGUGACAAACCGGAGGAAGGUGGGGAUGACGUCAAGUCAGCAUGCCCCUUACGCCCUGGGCUACACACGUACUACAAUGGUUGGGACAAAGGGCAGCGACCCCGCGAGGGAAAGCGAAUCUCAUCAAACCCAGCCUCAGUUCAGAUUGCAGGCUGCAACUCACCUGCAUGAAGGAGGAAUCGCUAGUAAUCGCAGGUCAGCAUACUGCGGUGAAUUCGUUCCCGGGCCUUGUACACACCGCCCGUCACACCAUGGAAGCUGGUCACGCCCGAAGUAGUUACCCUAACCUUUCGGGGGGGGGGACUCCUAAGGCAGGGCUAGUGACUGGGGUGAAGUCGAAACAAGGUAGCCGUACCGGAAGGUGUGGCUG
Molecule: ribosomal RNA, 1264 nt
Filed under: metagenome
Description: bacterial SSU rRNA
Rfam family: Bacterial small subunit ribosomal RNA
Source: RNAcentral